Molecule: RNase P RNA, 208 nt
Filed under: Methylobacterium sp.
Lineage: Bacteria; Pseudomonadati; Pseudomonadota; Alphaproteobacteria; Hyphomicrobiales; Methylobacteriaceae
Description: partial RNase P RNA component class A
Rfam family: Bacterial RNase P class A
About the family: Ribonuclease P (RNase P) is a ubiquitous endoribonuclease, found in archaea, bacteria and eukarya as well as chloroplasts and mitochondria. Its best characterised activity is the generation of mature 5'-ends of tRNAs by cleaving the 5'-leader elements of precursor-tRNAs. Cellular RNase Ps are ribonucleoproteins.
Source: RNAcentral
UCAGCCGGCCGGGCGGCCGCUCCGGACGCGCGAGCGUCCGGGGAGGAAAGUCCGGGCUCCAUGGAGAGACGGUGCCGGAUAACAUCCGGCGGGGGCGACCCCAGGGACAGUGCCACAGAAAGCAGACCGCCCCGGAUCCGUCCGGGGUCAGGGUGAAAGGGUGCGGUAAGAGCGCACCGCGGACGCGGCAACGCGGACGGCACGGCAA